GGGGCGUUAGCUCAGUUGGCUAGAGCGCCGUGUUCACACCGCGGAGGUCACUGGUUCGAGUCCAGUACGCCCCACCA
This 77-nucleotide transfer RNA is filed under the name Deltaproteobacteria bacterium. RNAcentral describes it as "tRNA-Val". It matches the Rfam family "tRNA". Rfam says of the family: Transfer RNA (tRNA) molecules are approximately 80 nucleotides in length. RNAcentral also lists the same sequence under 1 other name. Lineage: Bacteria; Pseudomonadati; Myxococcota; Myxococcia. The record is from RNAcentral.